RNAcentral lists this ribosomal RNA (328 nucleotides) under uncultured eukaryote. Its description in RNAcentral is "partial 18S ribosomal RNA". It matches the Rfam family "Eukaryotic small subunit ribosomal RNA", at positions 1470 to 1796 of the family's 1831-position model. The record is from RNAcentral.
CCCUUAGACGUUCUGGGCCGCACGCGCGCUACACUGACGGAGCCAGCGAGUAUAAACCUUGGCCGAGAGGUCUGGGAAAUCUUGUGAAGCUCCGUCGUGCUGGGGAUAGAGCAUUGUAAUUAUUGCUCUUCAACGAGGAAUUCCUAGUAAGCGCAAGUCAUCAGCUUGCGUUGAUUACGUCCCUGCCCUUUGUACACACCGCCCGUCGCUACUACCGAUUGAAUGGCUUAGUGAGGCUUCCGGAUUGGUUUAGAGAAGGGGGCAACUCCAUCUUGGAACCGAGAAGCUAGUCAAACUUGGUCAUUUAGAGGAAGUAAAAGUCGUAACA